RNAcentral lists this ribosomal RNA (253 nucleotides) under uncultured bacterium. Its description in RNAcentral is "partial 16S ribosomal RNA". It matches the Rfam family "Bacterial small subunit ribosomal RNA", at positions 524 to 776 of the family's 1533-position model. The record is from RNAcentral.
UACAGAGGGGGCCAGCGUUAUUCGGAAUUAUUGGGCGUAAAGGGCGCGUAGGCGGCUUUGCGUGUCUUUCGUGAAAUCCCUCGGCUCAACUGAGGACGUGCGGAAGAAACUGCAGGGCUGGAGUCCGGGAGAGGAGGGUGGAAUUCCCAGUGUAGCGGUGAAAUGCGCAGAUAUCAGGAGGAACACCAAUGGCGAAGGCAGCUCGCUGGGACGUGACUGACGCUGAGACGCGAAAGCGUGGGGAGCAAACAGG